ACUACUUGGAUACCCGUGGUAAUUCUAGAGCUAAUACAUGCAAAAAACCCCAACUUCGGGAGGGGUGUAUUUAUUAGAUAAAAAACCAAUGCCCUCCGGGGCUNUCUGGUGAUUCAUGAUAACUUAACGGAUCGCAUGGCCUUGCGCCGGCGACGGUUCAUUCAAAUUUCUGCCCUAUCAACUUUCGAUGGUAAGGUAUUGGCUUACCAUNGUUUCAACGGGUAACGGAUUUUUAGGGAAAGAUCCCGGAGAAGGAGCCUGAGAAACGGCUACUACAUCCAAGGAAGGCAGCAGGCGCGCAAAUUACCCAAUCCCGACACGGGGAGGUAGUGACAAUAAAUACUGAUACAGGGCUCUUUUGGGUCUUGUAAUCGGAAUGAGUACAAUUUAAAUACCUUAACGAGGAACAAUUGGAGGGCAAGUCUGGUGCCAGCAGCCGCGGUAAUUCCAGCUCCAAUAGCGUAUAUUAAAGUUGUUGCAGUUAAAAAGCUCGUAGUUGAACCUUGGGCCUGGCUGGCCGGUCCGCCUCACCGCGUGUACUGGUCCGGCCGGGCCUUUCCUUCUGGAGAACCGCAUGCCCUUCACUGGGUGUGCCGGGGAACCAGGACUUUUACUUUGAGAAAAUUAGAGUGUUCAAAGCAGGCCUUUGCUCGAAUACGUUAGCAUGGAAUAAUAGAAUAGGACGUGCGGUCCUAUUUUGUUGGUUUCUAGAACCGCCGUAAUGAUUAAUAGGGAUAGUCGGGGGCGUCAGUAUUCAAUUGUCAGAGGUGAAAUUCUUGGAUCUAUUGAAGACUAACUACUGCGAAAGCAUUCGCCAAGGAUGUUUUCAUUAAUCAGUGAACGAAAGUUAGGGGAUCGAAGACGAUCAGAUACCGUCGUAGUCUUAACCGUAAACUAUGCCG
Molecule: ribosomal RNA, 902 nt
Filed under: Neoroussoella clematidis
Lineage: Eukaryota; Fungi; Ascomycota; Dothideomycetes; Pleosporales; Thyridariaceae
Description: SSU rRNA
Rfam family: Eukaryotic small subunit ribosomal RNA
Source: RNAcentral